CAGCAGCCGCGGGAAUACGUAGGGUGCAAGCGUUAAUCGGAAUUACUGGGCGUAAAGCGUGCGCAGGCGGUUAUAUAAGACAGAUGUGAAAUCCCCGGGCUCAACCUGGGAACUGCAUUUGUGACUGUAUAGCUAGAGUACGGCAGAGGGGGAUGGAAUUCCGCGUGUAGCAGUGAAAUGCGUAGAUAUGCGGAGGAACACCGAUGGCGAAGGCAAUCCCCUGGGCCUGUACUGACGCUCAUGCACGAAAGCGUGGGGAGCAAACAGGAUUAGAUACUCCCGUAGUCCCUGUCUCUUAUAC
This 301-nucleotide ribosomal RNA is filed under the name uncultured bacterium. RNAcentral describes it as "partial 16S ribosomal RNA". It matches the Rfam family "Bacterial small subunit ribosomal RNA", at positions 509 to 807 of the family's 1533-position model. The record is from RNAcentral.